Non-coding RNA from Drosophila melanogaster (fruit fly), 438 nucleotides. Lineage: Eukaryota; Metazoa; Arthropoda; Insecta; Diptera; Drosophilidae. The record is from Ensembl.
UCUUCUUUUCAAUCGCUGUGCGGGACGUCCUGUCCCGGAUCAGAUUCGCCGUUUUUCUGGAGUGGCUGGCAUUUAACAUUGCAGUGUAAUUUCCACUAGCCGUCGAUAGUUAGGUCCUUCAAUAUGCUAUAUCGAUUUAUCAACCUCCAUCCCGGGGAGAUCAGUUAAAGUCAGUGUACAGAUCGGGACUUCUGGGCGCUGCUGUUGGCUGGGCCGGUUGCUCUAGGCUAGCUGCCAUCUGUCGCAGAUUUUCGACGCCAGUUAGCAAUUGCCUGCAAGGAAUGAAUAAAACGGUGUCGGCGGCGCGCAGCAAAUCCCUAGACAAAUGCUGUGUUCUGGACGGUCGUUCUGCGCUAAUCCCGCUGCUGGUGGAGGCUUCACUGUCUCUACCAGGUGUCGCCACUGGAACUCCUCCUGUUGCGCAAUCAGAACUUCCAG